UAGGUUGACUACUUUGCUGAUGGGGAUAU
RNAcentral lists this non-coding RNA (29 nucleotides) under Rattus norvegicus (Norway rat). Lineage: Eukaryota; Metazoa; Chordata; Mammalia; Rodentia; Muridae. The record is from RNAcentral.